AAAUGGAUAAUGAAGAUCCAAGCUACAGAUUGAAGUCAAGAGCUUAAACAACUUACGCAAACUGACACUAAAAUAAUCUAGAACAUAAGAGCAUUCCUCCUUCCAAAAUUAAUAAAGAAAUUGAAAUAUUUACAAAUUGAUGGCUCUUAUAUUGACUCUCUUAUGUUUGUCAAUACAGGAACUAAAAACAAUUCAUUCCUAACAACUCUGGAUAAAUGAAUAAACAAAUUUGUACGGGAAACAUACCGCAAAAUAGAUUGUG
This 262-nucleotide unclassified non-coding RNA is filed under the name Hevea brasiliensis (rubber tree). Lineage: Eukaryota; Viridiplantae; Streptophyta; Magnoliopsida; Malpighiales; Euphorbiaceae. The record is from RNAcentral.